GACAGAGGUGCCGAGCGUUAGGCGGAAUCACUGGGCUUAAAGCGUGUGUAGGCGGGUCGUUAAGUACCUUGUGAAAUCCCACGGCUUAACCGUGGAACUGCUGGGUAUACUGGCGAUCUUGAGCCACUUAGGGGUCAGCGGAACAAAUGGUGGAGCGGUGAAAUGCGUAGAUAUCAGGAGGAACACCAGCGGCGAAGGCGGCGCUCUGGGCCGGUACUGACACUGAGGAGCGAAAGCGUGGGGAGCAAACAGG
RNAcentral lists this ribosomal RNA (253 nucleotides) under uncultured bacterium. Its description in RNAcentral is "partial 16S ribosomal RNA". It matches the Rfam family "Bacterial small subunit ribosomal RNA", at positions 524 to 776 of the family's 1533-position model. The record is from RNAcentral.